This is a long non-coding RNA of Amblyraja radiata (thorny skate), 503 nucleotides long. RefSeq lists it as uncharacterized. The transcript is spliced from 4 exons. The record is from RefSeq and is a predicted model, not a curated record. NCBI's taxonomy places the organism in Eukaryota, Metazoa, Chordata, Chondrichthyes, Rajiformes, Rajidae.
GGUCGCCAUGGGGACGAGCAUGGAGCUGGAGCAUGGAUCAUGGCGGCUGCUGCCCGCUAGGCCGCGGCACAAAUACAAUCCCUCGACAUCCGCCGACAUGGUGAAAGUCCGUCCAAGAUUCCAAACAAGCACAAAUUGUCUCCUUGAACCUCAAGCCAAUCGAUAAGGCGAAAGAGUUGAAACAACAGAACAGACUCGCACGUGGGAAGAAGCCAGAGCACCUAGAGGAAACUCACCCUGUCAUAAGGAGAACGUGCAAGCUCCACAUAGACGGCACCCAAAGUCGGGAUUGAACCUGGGUCUCUUGCGCAAUGAGGCAGCACCUCUACCACCUGCGCCACUGUGACGCCCUAUAUUUGGCUUUGUUGACCAGCCUCAAACUUUGGAAGGGAAAUCCAGCAAAAUGCAGCUUAGUCGAGUAGGUGAAAGUCCAUCCAAGAUUUCAAACAAGCACAAAUUGUCUCCUUGAACCUCAAGCCAAUCAAUAAGGCGAAAGUUGAAAC